GCAUUUCGGCUGGUGUCGCUGCUCCAGGGAAAGUUCUGUUACUCCACUGACUCUCUCUUUUCCUGAUAACAUGGCCAGCAAGAAAGUAAUUACAGUGUUUGGAGCAACAGGAGCUCAAGGUGGCUCUGUGGCCAGGGCAAUUUUGGAGAGCAAAAAAUUUGCAGUGAGAGCAGUGACCAGGGAUGUGACUUGACCAAAUGCCCUGGAGCUCCAGCGCCUUGGAGCUGAGGUGGUCAAAGGUGACCUGAAUGAUAAAGCAUCGGUGGACAGUGCCUUAAAAGGUGUCUAUGGGGCCUUCUUGGUGACCAACUUCUGGGACCCUCUCAACCAAGAUAAGGAAGUGUGUCGGGGGAAGCUGGUGGCAGACUCCGCCAAGCACCUGGGUCUGAAGCACGUGGUGUACAGCGGCCUGGAGAACGUCAAGCGACUGACGGAUGGCAAGCUGGAGGUGCCGCACUUUGACAGCAAGGGCGAGGUGGAGGAGUACUUCUGGUCCAUUGGCAUCCCCAUGACCAGUGUCCGCGUGGCGGCCUACUUUGAAAACUUUCUCGCGGCGUGGCGGCCCGUGAAAGCCUCUGAUGGAGAUUACUACACCUUGGCUGUACCGAUGGGAGAUGUACCAAUGGAUGGUAUCUCUGUUGCUGAUAUUGGAGCAGCCGUCUCUAGCAUUUUUAAUUCUCCAGAGGAAUUUUUAGGCAAGGCCGUGGGGCUCAGUGCAGAAGCACUAACAAUACAGCAAUAUGCUGAUGUUUUGUCCAAGGUUUUGGGGAAAGAAGUCCGAGAUGCAAAGGUGAGUUCUUAGGGGACAUCCAUGUGAUCACAAGAGGCCACCUUGGUUAACAUUCCACUGACUUACAAAUUUUGGUAGACUCUCUGUGGAUUUAGGCAGGAUUGAACUUAAACUUUCAGAAGAAAUUGAGAAGGAUUGUGGUUCCAUAAAUCUAUCUUCAUCGAUUGGUGCAGUGGAAUCUCUCCCAUAUGGCUUUAUUUCUUUGGCUUAGGGUUAAUUGACUUGUAAAAGUAAAAUUACUUUUGAGUGGAAAGAACGUAGAAUGUGAAGAUUGAGAUACAGCCUUUUUACACACAUGAUCCCAACUCCUCUCAUAAGUCCUUGCUGCUGACCACUUCGGUCGUCCAGAGCUAGCUGAUGUGGAACAAGACACUUAGCUUCAUUGAGCCUCAGCUUCCUCAG
This is a long non-coding RNA of Homo sapiens (human), 1192 nucleotides long. Ensembl annotates it as NmrA like redox sensor 2, pseudogene. Its record names the gene NMRAL2P. NCBI's taxonomy places the organism in Eukaryota, Metazoa, Chordata, Mammalia, Primates, Hominidae. The record is from Ensembl.